AGAGUUUGAUCAUGGCUCAGGAUGAACGCUAGCGGCAGGCUUAAGACAUGCAAGCCGAACGGUAAGAUUUGUAGCAAUACGAGUCCUAGAGUGGCGUAAGGGUGCGUAACACGUAUGCAAUCUGCCCGCAACAGGAGUAUAGCUCCCCGAAAGGGGAAUUAAUGCUCCAUAGGAAUAUCAGAGGGCAUCUGAAGAUAUUUAAACCUGAGGGGGUUGCGGAUGAGCAUGCGCAUGAUUAGUUAGUUGGCAGGGUAACGGCCUACCAAGACGAUGAUCAUUAGGGGAACUGAGAGGUUGAUCCCCCACACUGGCACUGAGAUACGGGCCAGACUCCUACGGGAGGCAGCAGUCGGGAAUAUUGGUCAAUGGGUGCGAGCCUGAACCAGCCAUGCCGCGUGCAGGAAGAAGGCCUUCUGGGUUGUAAACUGCUUUUACCAGGGGAUAAAAACGUUUUGCGAAACGGAUUGAAGGUACCUGGGGAAUAAGCCACGGCUAACUACGUGCCAGCAGCCGCGGUAAUACGUAGGUGGCGAGCGUUGUCCGGAUUUAUUGGGUUUAAAGGGUGCGUAGGCGGCUUAUUAAGUCAGUGGUGAAAGACGGCAGCUUAACUGUCGAGGUGCCAUUGAUACUGAUGAGCUAGAGUACUGAUGAGGUAGGCGGAAUGGACGGUGUAGCGGUGAAAUGCAUAGAUAUCGUCCAGAACACCGAUAGCGAAGGCAGCUUACUAAGGAGUAACUGACGCUGAGGCACGAAAGUGUGGGGAUCAAACAGGAUUAGAUACCCUGGUAGUCCACACUGUAAACGAUGAUCACUAGAUGUUGGCGAUACACAGCCAGCGUUCCAGCAAAAGCGAUAAGUGAUCCACCUGGGGAGUACGCCGGCAACGGUGAAACUCAAAGGAAUUGACGGGGGCCCGCACAAGCGGAGGAGCAUGUGGUUUAAUUCGAUGGUACGCGAGGAACCUUACCAGGGCUUGAAAGUUAGGGAAUGAUUCUGAAAGGAGUCAGUCAGCAAUGACCCGAAACUAGGUGCUGCAUGGCUGUCGUCAGCUCGUGUCGUGAGAUGUUGGGUUAAGUCCCGCAACGAGCGCAACCCUUGCCAUUAAUUGCCAUCAUUUAGUUGGGCACUUUAAUGGGACUGCCGGUGACAAACCGGAGGAAGGUGGGGAUGACGUCAAGUCCUCAUGGCCCUUAUGGCCAGGGCUUCACACGUAAUACAAUGGUCGGUACAGAGGGUUGCCAACCCGCGAGGGGGAGCCAAUCCCAGAAAGCCGAUCGUAGUCCGGAUUGUAGUCUGCAACUCGACUGCAUGAAGUCGGAAUCGCUAGUAAUCGCGGAUCAGCAUGUCGCGGUGAAUACGUUCCCGGGCCUUGUACACACCGCCCGUCACACCAUGGGAGUGGGUUUUACCAGAAGUAGUUAGUCUAACCGUAAGGGAGACGAUUACCACGGUAGGAUUCAUGACUGGGGUGAAGUCAUAACAAGGUAACCGUA
Molecule: ribosomal RNA, 1493 nt
Filed under: uncultured bacterium
Lineage: Bacteria
Description: bacterial SSU rRNA
Rfam family: Bacterial small subunit ribosomal RNA
Source: RNAcentral